GAUGAAGAACGUAGCGAAAUGCGAUAAGUAAUGUGAAUUGCAGAAUUCAGUGAAUCAUCGAAUCUUUGAACGCACAUUGCGCCCGCUAGUAUUCUGGCGGGCAUGCCUGUUCGAGCGUCAUUUCAACCAUCAAGCCCCAGGCUUGUGUUGGGGGCCUGCGGCUGCCGCAGCCCCUGAAAAGCAGUGGCGGGCUCGCUGUCAUUCCGAGCGCAGUAGUUACAUCUCGCUCCGGGCGUGGCGGUGGGCACCUGCCGUGAAACACUACUUCUAAGGUUGACCUCGGAUCAGGUAGGAAUACCCGCUGAACUUAAGCAUAUCAAUAAGCGGAGGA
RNAcentral lists this unclassified non-coding RNA (331 nucleotides) under soil metagenome. Its description in RNAcentral is "partial contains 5.8S ribosomal RNA, internal transcribed spacer 2, and large subunit ribosomal RNA". The stretch from base 1 to 120 matches the Rfam family "5.8S ribosomal RNA", at positions 35 to 154 of the family's 154-position model. The record is from RNAcentral.